CCCUUAGAUGUCCUGGGCUGCACGCGCGCUACACUGAUGCAUGCAACGAGUUCUAUCCUUGGCCGGAAGGCCUGGGUAAUCUGUGAACGUGCAUCGUGAUAGGGAUAGAUUAUUGCAAUUAUUAAUCUUGAACGAGGAAUUCCUAGUAAACGCAAGUCAUCAGCUUGCAUUGAUUACGUCCCUGCCCUUUGUACACACCGCCCGUCGCACCUACCGAUCGAAGGUAAUGAUGAGCCCUCAGGAUUGUGGCCUCGUCGCGUCAGCGUCUUGGCUGCGAGAAUCUGUGCAAAUCCCUACCUUUAGAGGAAGGUGAAGUCGUAACA
RNAcentral lists this ribosomal RNA (323 nucleotides) under uncultured eukaryote. RNAcentral's name for it is "partial 18S ribosomal RNA". It matches the Rfam family "Eukaryotic small subunit ribosomal RNA", at positions 1470 to 1796 of the family's 1831-position model. The record is from RNAcentral.